This 431-nucleotide unclassified non-coding RNA is filed under the name Hevea brasiliensis (rubber tree). The record is from RNAcentral. Lineage: Eukaryota; Viridiplantae; Streptophyta; Magnoliopsida; Malpighiales; Euphorbiaceae.
AACACACACACACACACACACACGAAUACAGUAUUGCUAUUGGGUUGGCUUCAGGCUUCUCUUAAAGUUUUGCCCAUGUGGGUGUGGAGUUAUAAAUACUGGGCAGUGAUGAAAUCACUCAUUUUAGUUUAAAAAAUUUUGAAAAAUGAAAAUGGGCAAAUGAAUGAGAGAGAGAGAGAUGAACAUGGGGGUAUGUUUCCAGUCUCCUAUACAAGGACUGAAACUUUAGCUUUUGUGCUAAUUUUAUAGGGGCAAAAUGGUACUGGUCUCUGUUAUUCUUUACUUUGGCUAUGAGGACAGAUAGGAAUUACACUUGAUUCUGGUUUUCCAAUGUUCUUUGCUUUGGAGGGUCUCUUUCUCACUUCCCUAGAUGUUCUUCGUGUCAGCUGAGGUUUUUGUUUUUGAUCCUUCACCACCAUUAACAAGCUAAA